Molecule: ribosomal RNA, 250 nt
Filed under: uncultured bacterium
Lineage: Bacteria
Description: partial 16S ribosomal RNA
Rfam family: Bacterial small subunit ribosomal RNA
Source: RNAcentral
ACGUAGGGAGCAAGCGUUAUCCGGAAUUAUUGGGUGUAAAGCGUGUGUAGGCGGGAAAUUAAGUCUAAGGUCUAAGCCCGGAGCUCAACUCCGGUUCGCCUUAGAAACUGAUUUUCUUGAGUGUGGUAGAGGCAAACGGAAUUUCUAGUGUAGCGGUAAAAUGCGUAGAUAUUAGAAGGAACACCAGUGGCGAAGGCGGUUUGCUGGGCCACUACUGACGCUGAGACACGAAAGCGUGGGGAGCAAAUAG